AAUCCCUGGGCCCGCAUGGUUUAAGUGGAAGCGCCUUCCCUGGGAUGCACUUUCUAUUUGGUGAAAGCGUAUUCCCAGGAACACGCUUUCUAUUUUAAAACCCCGCCGGCUGAACUGCUUUUAUUGUGAACGUUCACUGGUUAAGAUCAGAAACAAAUAAGUUUUUAUUUGAUUUCUGCCUAACGAAUGAACGUCCAUAACUUUUCAACCGUAACUCCGAUUGAGGUAAAACCAGCGCUCACGUCUUCGUCUCGUCGAGCCCAUCUCGAUUAUAUUAUUUUCAUGAUAUUUUUGCACAGUAGAAAUGACAGUUUUGCCCUUGCCCUCCAACCGAGCCCUUCGAGAUAGAACCCUCUCCGGUAAAUCUUCUCGGUGUCAUAGUGUGCUUCUUCACGGUGUAUUCGUCGACCCCCCCGGCAAGCCAACCUCUUAUCAUAAGCUCCGGAUAUGCGUGAUAGCUCUGCUUGCACCAAGUGUGUUUACCCUGUAACACUGUUACUCUGUGUUUGCAUGCAACGGAGACAGCAGUAGUACAUUCUCUUACAGUAAUUGUCAUGUAAUACAUGCCCUCACGCUUUGCUUUGAAAUGCUCUUGCAUAGUUAAUUUGCGAGGUUCGUGAUUAAGCAAUGUAAUAUGUGAGAUUGCCGACGAACCCUUGCUCGCAUUUUCUUUAAUAGUGGCACCAUGCCUGAGUCUGAGCUGUUUUCGGCCGUCCGGGGUGGAUGCCAACUUUAUACUUCUCUUGUCAGCAGUUAGUUCAUGUUCUGAGCUGCUUUUCGGCCGUCACGAACAACUGUUGAAUUUCUUUCCGUGGUAGUGACCCUAUGCUCUGAGCUGUCAUUAUGUCGUCUUAGGGAACUCCCACAUUCUUCUUAUCAACACCGCCUCAUGCUCUGAGCUGCUUUCCAGCCGUCUUGGGUCGGGGUUGAGUUAUUCCGGUAAUGUCCCAGAUAUGUGUGUAACAACCGUUCUGGUGGCUACCGAUUUAUUUGCUAAGUUUAUGCGAGGGUGCCGAG
This 1017-nucleotide long non-coding RNA is filed under the name Hordeum vulgare. RNAcentral describes it as "long non-coding RNA (HVUL_LNC004506)". Lineage: Eukaryota; Viridiplantae; Streptophyta; Magnoliopsida; Poales; Poaceae. The record is from RNAcentral.